RNAcentral lists this ribosomal RNA (353 nucleotides) under uncultured Pseudomonas sp. RNAcentral's name for it is "bacterial SSU rRNA". It matches the Rfam family "Bacterial small subunit ribosomal RNA", at positions 1029 to 1382 of the family's 1533-position model. Lineage: Bacteria; Pseudomonadati; Pseudomonadota; Gammaproteobacteria; Pseudomonadales; Pseudomonadaceae. The record is from RNAcentral.
CUGACACAGGUGCUGCAUGGCCGUCGUCAGCUCGUGUCGUGAGAUGUUGGGUUAAGUCCGUAACGAGCGCAACCCUUGUCCUUAGUUACCAGCACGUUAUGGUGGGCACUCUAAGGAGACUGCCGGUGACAAACCGGAGGAAGGUGGGGAUGACGUCAAGUCAUCAUGGCCCUUACGGCCUGGGCUACACACGUGCUACAAUGGUCGGUACAAAGGGUUGCCAAGCCGCGAGGUGGAGCUAAUCCCAUAAAACCGAUCGUAGUCCGGAUCGCAGUCUGCAACUCGACUGCGUGAAGUCGGAAUCGCUAGUAAUCGUGAAUCAGAAUGUCACGGUGAAUACGUUCCCGGGCCUU